GACGAACGCUGGCGGCGUGCUUAACACAUGCAAGUCGAACGGAAAGGCCCUGCUCUUGUGGGGUGCUCGAGUGGCGAACGGGUGAGUGACACGUGAGUAACCUGCACUUGACUUUGGGAUAACUUCAGGAAACUGGGGCUAAUACCGGAUAGGAGCUCCUGCUGCAUGGUGGGGGUUGGAGAGUUUCGGCGGUUGGGGAUGGACUCGCGGCGUAUCGGCUGGUUGGUAGGGUAGUGGGUUACCAAGGCUUUCACGGGUAGCCGGCCUGAGCGGGUGAUCGGCGGCACGGGAGGUGGAACGGGGUCAUGAGGCCUGAGAGAGGCAGCAGAAGGCAAUGGGCGGCAGUGGGCGGGAACAUGGCGGAACGGGGGGGCGCCAGAGGCAGAAGCCCUCGGAGCGUGAUGCUGGGUUUUGGGGUGUAAACAGAUGUCGCAGGUGAUGAAGACGGAGUGACGGUAACGGGUAAGGAAGCACCGGCUAACUACGUG
RNAcentral lists this ribosomal RNA (488 nucleotides) under uncultured bacterium. RNAcentral describes it as "partial 16S ribosomal RNA". It matches the Rfam family "Bacterial small subunit ribosomal RNA", at positions 28 to 507 of the family's 1533-position model. The record is from RNAcentral.